AUGUCGCGAGUUUCGUUUUUGCUUUAUCCGCCGAUCACAUUGUAUAUUACAGGUGAAGAGGUAGUUUUGCAAUCGUUCCCAUCUCAGACUCCGAGUGAACGGAAGACCGUAUCAAUACGCUGUCACGCAACUAUCUCAUUCUCUGCGGUAUACUGGUUCGUGCAAGCUCCGAAUCAGAGCCCAAAAAUGUUGGUCAUGGCGACGGGAAGCGAAACGGUGAAUAAUGGCAGAUUUAGAGCUGUCAGUCGAAGUGAAGAGAAAAGCAGCUCUCUGAUAAUAUCGAGCUUACAUCUAACAGACACCGGAACCUACUUUUGUGCUUUACUCACAGUGUGGAAAGGAGCGACAGAGUCCGCACAAAAACCUCGUCUGCUAUGA
Non-coding RNA from Rhincodon typus (whale shark), 378 nucleotides. NCBI's taxonomy places the organism in Eukaryota, Metazoa, Chordata, Chondrichthyes, Orectolobiformes, Rhincodontidae. The record is from the annotation of a RefSeq genome assembly.